ACGGAGGGUGCAAGCGUUAAUCGGAAUUACUGGGCGUAAAGCGCACGCAGGCGGUUUGUUAAGUCAGAUGUGAAAUCCCCGGGCUCAACCUAGGAACUGCAUCUGAAACUAUCAAGCUCGAGUCGCGUAGAGGAGGGUAGAAUUCCAGGUGUAGCGGUGAAAUGCGUAGAGAUCAGGAGGAAUACCGGUGGCGAAGGCGGCCUCCUGGACGAAGACUGACGCUGAGGUGCGAGAGCGUGGGGAGCAAACAG
This 251-nucleotide ribosomal RNA is filed under the name uncultured prokaryote. RNAcentral describes it as "partial 16S rRNA". It matches the Rfam family "Bacterial small subunit ribosomal RNA", at positions 525 to 775 of the family's 1533-position model. The record is from RNAcentral.